Molecule: non-coding RNA, 940 nt
Organism: Chlorocebus sabaeus (green monkey)
Lineage: Eukaryota; Metazoa; Chordata; Mammalia; Primates; Cercopithecidae
Source: RefSeq, a predicted model, not a curated record
UCUUAAAAGCAAAAUAGCUAGUCCUGGUGUCUGAGUGAUUCCCAGGGCCCAGCAAAGGGACCAAGUCUCCAGAGCCCUGAAGACAAGGGGUAACACACCAAAAUAUGGACUCAUUUUCCACUCCACCUUCAUUGGCCAAGCAGCUGCCAAGAACAAAGGCCACAUCUCCCAAUACCUGGCAAACAAAUGCAGUAUUGCCUCAUGAAUCGAUUGCUUCUCUGAGGUGCCCAUGAGUGUAUUUGGGGAGAGGCUUUGAGAACAAGUUGAAGAGCGACUGUCCUUCUAUGAGACUGGAGAGAUACCACGAAAGAAUCUGGAUGUCAUGAAGGAAGCAAUGGUUCAGGCAGAGGAAGCGGCUGCUGAGAUUACUAGGAAGCUGGAGAAACAGGAGAAGAAAUGCUUAAAGAAGGAAAAGAAAUGGCUGGUUGCACUUGCCCUCACAUCUUCAGAAAACAGCAGUAGUACUCCAGAGGAGUGUGAGGAGACGAGUGAAAAACCCAAAUAGAAGAAAAAGCAGAAGCCCCAGGAGGUUCCUCAUGAGAAUGGAAUGGAAGACCCAUCUAUCUCUUUCUCCAAACCCAAGAAAAAGAAAUCUUUUUCCAAGGAGGAGUUGAUGAGUAGUGAUCUUGAAGAGACUGCUGCCAGCACCAGUCUUCCCAAGAGGAAGAAGUCUUCACCGAAGGAGGAAACAGUUAAUGACCCCGAAGAGGCAGGCCACAGAAGUGGCUCCAAGAAAAAGAGGAAAUUCUCCAAAAAGGAGCCAGUCAGCAGUGGGCCUGAAGAGGCAGCUGGCAAGAGCAGCUCUAAGAAGAGAAAGUUCCAUAAAGCAUCCCAGGAAGAUUAGAAUGCAAACGGGCAUUCUCUGGGAGGUGGGGCAUACGAUAGCCCAAGGUGACAUCUCCCAACCUGUGCCCUGUUCCCCAAUAAAAACAAAUUCACA